Molecule: long non-coding RNA, 473 nt
Organism: Paramormyrops kingsleyae
Lineage: Eukaryota; Metazoa; Chordata; Actinopteri; Osteoglossiformes; Mormyridae
Source: RefSeq, a predicted model, not a curated record
CUCAAACUUCCCACAUAAAUCAGACCAAACUUACUUUUGUGAUAUAGCCUAUUGACUUCAUUCCUCCCAUAAUAUUUUGAAAUAGAGAUCAUUCGUAACAUUCGCUAAAGAUGCCUACGACCUCUUUGUCUUCAUCAACACUAAGAUUCUUGGAAGGGGCCAGGCGUUUUCUCUGGCAGCAUGAGGCACAAGACACAUAUACAGGCGAGAGUGAGCUCAGCAGUGAAGGGCAGCCAUCCAUAGCGACACCCAUGGAGCUGGGGGGUAAGGGCCAUGCUCAAGGGCCCACAAACAGGGCUACUCCGCGAAGGCCGGGCUCAAACCAGAGACCUUCCGAUCACAGGCACAGAAGAUUCGCCCACUAUGCUGCCCUCUAAACCACUAAAGGGAAACAACUUCUGCCCUAAAGUCCAACUCCGUGCACAUUCAAUAUUCAAUUUAUUACUCACCCUGCCCUCUGUAAUGCACCAGAG